RNAcentral lists this unclassified non-coding RNA (378 nucleotides) under uncultured Gammaproteobacteria bacterium. RNAcentral's name for it is "contains 16S-23S intergenic spacer region". Lineage: Bacteria; Pseudomonadati; Pseudomonadota; Gammaproteobacteria. The record is from RNAcentral.
UCCGAUUUAUCACCGGCGGUCUCUCUAGAGUACCCAACUUAACUUGCUGGUAACUAGAGAUGAGGGUUGCGCUCGUUACGGGACUUAACCCAACAUCUCACGACACGAGCUGACGACAGCCAUGCAGCACCUGUCUCUUAGCUCCCGAAGGCACACUCUCAUUUCUGAAAGCUUCUAAGGAUGUCAAGGGUAGGUAAGGUUCUUCGCGUUGCAUCGAAUUAAACCACAUGCUCCACCGCUUGUGCGAGCCCCCGUCAAUUCCUUUGAGUUUUAACCUUGCGGCCGUACUCCCCAGGCGGAAAACUUAUCGCGUUAGCUGCGCCACUAGAAGUUCUACACCCCUAACGGCUAGUUUUCAUAGUUUACGGCGUGGACUAC